GAUGAACGCUAGCUACAGGCUUAACACAUGCAAGUCGAGGGGAAACGACAUCGAAAGCUUGCUUUUGAUGGGCGUCGACCGGCGCACGGGUGAGUAACGCGUAUCCAACCUGCCCAUCACUUGGGGAUAACCUUGCGAAAGUAAGACUAAUACCCAAUGAUAUCUCUAGAAGACAUCUGAAAGAGAUUAAAGAUUUAUCGGUGAUGGAUGGGGAUGCGUCUGAUUAGCUUGUUGGCGGGGUAACGGCCCACCAAGGCGACGAUCAGUAGGGGUUCUGAGAGGAAGGUCCCCCACAUUGGAACUGAGACAUGGGCCAAACUCCUACGGGAGGCAGCAGUGAGGAAUAUUGGUCAAUGGACGAGAGUCUGAACCAGCCAAGUAGCGUGCAGGAUGACGGCCCUAUGGGUUGUAAACUGCUUUUAUAAGGGAAUAAAGUAAGUCUCGUGAGACUUUUUGCAUGUACCUUAUGAAUAAGGACCGGCUAAUUCCGUGCCAGCCGCCGCGGUAA
This 508-nucleotide ribosomal RNA is filed under the name uncultured bacterium. Its description in RNAcentral is "partial 16S ribosomal RNA". It matches the Rfam family "Bacterial small subunit ribosomal RNA", at positions 28 to 523 of the family's 1533-position model. The record is from RNAcentral.